AAUAUUCAUGUGACCAAAAUAAUAAUUAUAGCACUCAUAUUAGUGCACUCACAUAUAUAUAAUAUUCCUCUUCGUAGGAAGAAAAAUAAUUUAAAAAAAAAUUAUGCUCGGAAAAAUUUUCAUAAACCGGCAUCAUUCGAUUUCUCGAUAAAAAUAAACCAUACUUGCUUUGGAAACUUAAACAAAAUUCCAAAUGCUAAGGUCUCAAAUAAAAAUCAUAACAACUUGGUCAUAAUGACACACGUCACAAAAUCACAUAAUCACUCAGUCACGUAAAUUCACAUAACAUCACAUCAAAACAGUCGGCAGACUCAGAUAAGUUAGACGUUUCUCUAACCGACUCUAUUUAUCAAAGAUUCUCACUCUUUCUUCCUCGACUCUAUUUCCAACUCAUUAUUCCUAUUUUCUUAAUAGGACAGUCAGUCUCUGAUAAUUCGGUAUCCGGUAAUUCUAUUCCCGGUAGUUGGAAACAAAAGAAAACACUAGCCAAGUCAAUCAGCAUCUCCACAUCAAUCAAUACCAAAUCUCAUAGUCUGACUCUACUAUCGGAGUACACACGCGUAUCUCAGGGAAAAGACAAUCUAUCAAAUCCACGCAUAAAAAAAAGUAGUGGCUGGGUCCAACCAUAGCCGACCGUCAUCUCUGGAGUCUCCUCAUCGGGGUCCUCCUCAUCACUAGUCGGAGCGUGCCGGCCGAGAUCCUCCCUCCUGGGCGUCUCGGGACGGUGAAUAUAGAAUCGAGUGCAUGUACGUCUGAAAGGCCAAAGUGCCUGGCUCAGGCAACGGGGCAACCCUCGGAUAUGGAUCGAAGGGAACAUACUGCGUCUCAGACUCAGUAGAAACAAUCGGUUGUGCCGACUCAACGGGUGGCAAUGGCAAAGGUGCCAUCGCCGGUGUCAAAUCCCAAGGCGGUAAAUCAGCGCUGGGAGAAGGAAUAAGUGAUAGAAACGCAAACGGGUCAUGCUCUAUCACAGGAGAGUACGUCUCGAAGACCAUCGGCUCAGAAACAUCAGACUCAAGAGAAACUGGAAUCGGAUCAGCUGGGGGUAGAGGUGCCAUCGGAAACGGCUCCUCGGGAAGUGGAGGCACAACAACUAGCUCCCCUCCCUGGGCUGGUCCCUCAUACUCUCCAUACGGCGGUGAAGGUGGAUCGCCAUAAGCAAAGUAACGGUGGCUCAGCGUCGCGAUGAAGCCACUAAGGUCUCCGUACCUGAUGCCCUCCAACCAGGUAGUAUCUACGUACUGGGGCACUAAAGAUGUCGCCCAGUCUCGCCACAAAGGUGGCAGUAGUGGAAUCAAAAGCGUAAUGGCCUCCGCGCCAUCGAUCCCAUAGGGAAUAGCCCUCCUCCAUCGUCGGUGAUAGUGUGCCAGAAGUUCACCCAAGGUGUCAUCCUCGUCCGGGAUAUACUCCCUGAACCAUCGCUGCAUCGCUGUCUCAAUAUGACUCGGCAUCCUGUAAUAUAAAAUAUCAUAUCCAUUAGAAAAUGGAUACGAAACUUACUUGGUACAUCUCAAUCAACAACAUACUCGUCCUCGUUUGAUAUGGUGGGGCAUCAGCUAUACUAGCCUCAACAUUUCUCCUCAUAUUCCACAUCAACUGCCUCAUAUCAGAUUCCAUCCUCUCAAACAAUUCCGUCAUCAAAACAAUUCAUAACUCAUUAGUGAAACAAACUCAACUUUCAAUCAAGAAAGCGACAAGAAACAACAUCAACCUCUUACCUCGUUUAAGCCGGAGGAGAUGGGGUGCUGGGGUUUCGUUUCAAACUAACUCUCUCAAAUUAGUCUAAGAAUUCAAAUUAGACUAGUACUCAAUUUUAAAAGAGUAGAAGCAACCAAGGGUUCAACUUAGUCAAGCAAUAGACUCAGAGCAGAUGACCUGCUCUGAUACCACCCUGUCGCAGCCCGCAGACCCGACACUAGUAAUAGUGGGGUACGAGUAUCGAUACGACUAUUUUUAAAGAAUAAAAGAUAAGAAGAACUAGGUGAACGUCAUGCGGAAGCUCACGUAAAAGCAUGCUAAGGAAAAACUUCAUAAAAUUAGCCCAAGGGUAAAAUCGUCAACAUUGUCAUAACUUUUUAAUUAUUAGGAAUUUCACGAACAAAAACAAAACGCGUAUAGUUCAUUUUUCAUAAGGAAGCAUAAUUUGCAGAGUAUCGCAGCAAAAGGCGAACCGAUUAUAUGUAUGAAGACACAUAACCGUGAGUGUAUUGCUUGAUCUCAAAAGAAACUAAGUAAUUCAAACAUCAAGACUCUAUUAUCAUAGAGGCAAAAUAGUAAUUUAAUUUACAUCAUUUGAAACUCUCCCCCAUCAGCACCAGUCCAAUCUCACUCCCAGCUUAGCCUGCACAUUUAGAAAUACAUGCAGGGCGUGAGUACAUAAUACUCAGUGGGCAAAUGCCGAAAAACAAGAAAGGUGCUCUUAGAGCUAUAGGUUUGAAGCUUGCCACAUCUCAGCAACACACAGAAAUAAAUUAGCAUUUAAAAGAAUCUGUGCAUGCAGUUUUCAUAAUCAACAUCAUAAAUAAGUGUCUGCAGACAAAGUAUACGUCAUGUAUGUACCGCAUCUACAACUCAUCAUCAUAAUUAAGGUACUGAGAAGUAGGCCUCCCUCUCAAGUACCGUGACCGGCCGACCCGAAGACGGCUCACAGUCACCUCUGUGCACAAAAUCCCGCUUGUGGCAGGACCGAAUUCGUCUCAUCAGUAGAGGGUAACACACAAGCUCAACAUCAAAAAUUGGCAAGUCAAACAGUUCUCAAAUAUCAUUUAUCUCAAAACAUUUGUUAAUCUCAUAACAUCAUUAUAUCAUUAAAUCAUUUUAGAAAGCUCGGAUAAUAUUUGUAUACUCAAAAUAUUGCCCACCUGAAGACCUUACUCAAAAACUCCCGUCAAAGCGGAGUUACUUACUUCCUUGCUCUGCUCGUGUCUUCAGGGAUCAUCGUCAUCAUCGAAGGUUCAUGUCAUAAAAUGAAUCCCGAUUAGAAACUUAACGACAAAAACUCAUGCCUCAACUCAUGCUCUAUAUUAUAUUCUAUCGCUUAAUCAACUCUACAUAAACUCUUUACUCAUUUCAAAUCCUUAAGUCCAAGGAUAGGGUUCAAGAAAAUCAUGGUUCUAGGUCUCGAUUCAUCUCUCAUAUAAGACUCGUCUAAUCUCAUUCAAACACUUAGGCAACACAAUCACAUAAGGCACAUAAGAAAAUACCAUCAAACAUCAUCAAGACAUGUUCUGUUUUCCCACAGACUCGACUUCAAAAUUUAACACGUUCUGACUCCGACAUCCCCUGGACUCCAGACUCAUACCAAAAGAAAGGUAUUUGAGUCUAGUUUCAUUUAAAAAAAAGUAGAGUCAUAAACUCCAAAUGGUUUGGGAGAUAUGGCGUUUUUACCAAGGUCUACCAUAUUCGGCAGUUUUGAGCAAUCGGAAACAUUGAUUUUUUAAAAAUAGUAAACGUUGUCAAACUGCGCUCAAAUUUGGUGGAUAUCUAGCCCAUACAGUAAGGUUGAUACCAUAAAAAUUUGGAAAGCUAGAUCACACAGGAAGUUACUGAAAUGAAUGACUUUGUCCCCUGUUCUCUGAAAUUCCCGGUAGAAAUGUGCAGAUUUGGUUUUGCAUUUUAUAAAAAUAGUAAAUCAAGUCCAAAUGACUUGAAAUUUUACAGAGGUGCUCAAGACUCAUGUAGGGACAUGCUGUAAAAUUUUCAAAGCCAUUAGACAUCGAAAACGCGUCGAUCACAGUAGGUCAGUAGCCUACGAAAAAUCACCAAAACUCAUCUCAAACUCUUAAAUGCUCAAUUCAACAUUCCUUCAAAGAAAACCAAUCAAAGCUCAUUUUAAACACAUAUAACACUCAAAAACAUUCAAAAAUAUUUAAAAUACUCAUCAUACUUAAAUUAACUCUCCUCUUUUACAUCUUAACUCAAAUCUCAAGGAAAACGUUUCUACAACGUAUCAAGUAAAUCCCCUUCUCAAUUUCAUGCUUAAAAACACUCAAUCAUUCAAAAUGACUUCAUACAUCAUGUAACUCAUUUUACACAUAUAUUUCCCUUUUUAUCAUGUAAACUAACUCUAGUGAAAAACUCAUAUAUCAACAUAAAAUUCUCAACAAAAGCAUGACAACUUUCACAUAAUGGUCAUAAGCAAAAUAGACCUCAUGUUAUCAAUUGUCGACUUCUCAAGAUAUGAAAACUCAAAAAUUCUCAUAAACUAACUCAAGUCAAAAUUUUACUUAGCUUAGAAAAGACUUAAUCAAACAUAUUAAAACACUACUAUCAUGCUCAAAAACAUAUAUCUUAAGCCAAAACACUUAAUAGACACAUAGACAAGAAAGUCCUAAUUUUUAUUAAACUAAACUCUUUGAAAUUUUAUAAACUCACAUGGAUCUUUAAUCUCAUCAUAUAUCUAUCAAUUUUAGCCAUUUAAUCUCACAUCAAAACCAUCAAUUCACAAAUAAGGGCAUAUAUACACAUAUCCCUAAUUCUAGUAAACUAACUCACAUCAAAACUCCAAUUGACAUCAUAUACUCAAAUUACUCCAUCAAUCAUCAUCAUAUACACCUCAUAGACUCAUUUACAUCAUCAAUUUAUCUAUUAACUCUUUGACUCAAAAGUUACCAUUUUUGGGUAAACUAACUCCCAUCAAAGUUUCACAUCUCAAAGCAUAUAUUUCACACAUACAUCAAUCAUCAAUACACAUCACAUAAAUCACUUUUCUCACCUCAAUUCAAGGAAAGAAGAAGAAAAAUUUUUGAAGGGUAAGAUACCCAAAUUUUCGAAAAUUAGAAGAAAAAGGGAGGGGGUGAUUUCUUGCUUCAAUCCUUCAAAUAAACUCAUAUACAAACUCAUACAAAUUAUAUCUAUGAAUAUGGAGAUCACUUACCCAAGUUUUCACCAAUUAUCCAAACUUUCUCUCACUAUUCUUGAAGCCUACCUUCAAGGAUUCUCUUGAAUUUAAGUUGAUAGGAUGUGUUUAUGGAGGAUUUAAGUAGUGAUUUAUGUGUUUGGCAUACUUGGGUGAAGCUUCGAAGGUUUCAUCAAUGGCUAACAAUGGAGGAAAGUAGAGAGAUGAAGGGAGGGAGAGAGAGCUCGAAAAUUAGGGAAGAAGGAGAGAGAGGAAUUCUUGCAAGAUAUGAAAUGGAUUUGGCUAAUCUUUGGAAAGAUUUGUGAAUCUAAGAGAAUAUUUGGCAUUAAUGCCUUGAUCUCUCUCUCUCUAAAUCUCUACACUCUCUUAAUCUCUACUCUCUAAAUCUCUACUCUCUCAAUUCUAUACUUAGCAAAAUUUAGGCAUAUAACAUAUGGUAUGGGAAAUUAAAAUAAAGUGUGAGAAAGGUGAUCAAAUAAAAUCACAAAGAUUAUGGAAGAGUCACUCAUUAAUAAAAUACCACAUCAUAAUUAUUCAUGUGACCAAAAUAAUAAUUAUAGCACUCAUAUUAGUGCACUCACAUAUAUAUAAUAUUCCUCUUCGUAGGAAGAAAAAUAAUUUAAAAAUAUUAUGCUCGGAAAAAUUUUCAUAACCGGCAUCAUUCGAUUUCUUGAUAAAAAUAAACUGCACUUGCUUUGUAAACUUAAUAAAAAUUCCAAGUGCUAAGGUUUCAAAUAAAAAUCAUAAUCACUUGGUCAUAAUGACACACGUCACAAAAUCACAUAAUCACUCAGUCACGUAAAUUCUCAUAACAUCACAUCAAAGCAGUCGGCAGGCUCAAAUAAGCUAGACGUUUCUCUAACCGACUCUAUUUAUCGAAGAUUCUCG
Molecule: long non-coding RNA, 5746 nt
Filed under: Salvia miltiorrhiza (redroot sage)
Lineage: Eukaryota; Viridiplantae; Streptophyta; Magnoliopsida; Lamiales; Lamiaceae
Description: long non-coding RNA (SMIL_LNC002750)
Source: RNAcentral